AUCCUAAAUCAUUCAAAGAACAUGAGUUUAUGCAAUGUCUGAAAUCAUCUACUUCAAGGAGCGAGACUGGCAAGCCACCAAACUUCUCCUCCUCUUCCUAAAUCACAUUAAAGUCCCCUCCAAUAAGCCAAGGAGCAGUUAUAUGUGAUGCCAUAUCAUAUAAAGAAUCCCAUAGCUCAAUUCUUUCAUUGCGAUCACAUUUGGCGUAUACUAGCGUGAGGAUGAUUUCUGCAUGAGUUUCAGUAUUCACCAAUCUUAAAGUCAAGUCGAGUUAUGUUAUGCAGAAUAGUAACUACAUA
Molecule: long non-coding RNA, 299 nt
Filed under: Nicotiana benthamiana
Lineage: Eukaryota; Viridiplantae; Streptophyta; Magnoliopsida; Solanales; Solanaceae
Description: long non-coding RNA (NBEN_LNC029452)
Source: RNAcentral